Long non-coding RNA from Aricia agestis (brown argus), 95 nucleotides. RefSeq lists it as uncharacterized. Lineage: Eukaryota; Metazoa; Arthropoda; Insecta; Lepidoptera; Lycaenidae. The transcript is spliced from 3 exons. The record is from RefSeq and is a predicted model, not a curated record.
GCCGCAUCCGUCUGAUACAACACACUAUAAAUUACGCGAAGAGCCGAAAUUGCGCGGCGGAAUUUUAAAAUUAUCAGAUUCGGAAAUUCUCAUAU